CCCGCGGGGCUCCGGGCGGCCGUGACCCUGCUGGAGUCCGGGGGGGACCUCCAGCCCCCCGGGGGGUCCCUGCGCCUCCUCUGCCGCGCCUCGGGGUUCACUUUCGGGAAUUAUGGAAUGUUCUGGAUCCGCCAGAGACCCGGGCAGGGGCUGGAAUACGUCGCGAGUAUCAACAACGGUGGUGGCAGCACCUACUACGCGCCGUCGGUGAAGGGCCGGGCGACGAUCUCCAGGGACAACGGGCAGAGCUCGGUGACGCUGACCAUGAACGGCCUCAAGGACGAGGAUUCCGGCUCCUAUUUCUGUGCCAAGGAUGCUGCUGCUGGUUUUUGGGGUGCUGGUGCUGGUGGUUGGGGUGCCCAUGCUGGUUUUUGUGGUGCCCAUGCCGGUUUUUGGAGUGCUGGUCCUGGUGGAUUUGGGGUGCCCAUGCUGGUUAUUGGGGUGCUGGUGCUGGUGGUUGGUGUGCCCGUGCUGGUUUUUGUGGUGCCCAUGCUGGUUUUUGGAGUGCCCGUGCCGGUUUUUGGGGUGCCCAUGCUGGUUUUUGGGGUGCCCAUGCUGGUUUUUGGAGUGCCCGUGCCGGUUUUUGGGGUGCCCAUGCUGGCACUGCCGGCCUUGGCCAGGGACCGACCCGGCGGCGCCGGCGCGGGACGGCUCCGCUGA
This is a non-coding RNA of Vidua macroura (Pin-tailed whydah), 660 nucleotides long. NCBI's taxonomy places the organism in Eukaryota, Metazoa, Chordata, Aves, Passeriformes, Viduidae. The record is from the annotation of a RefSeq genome assembly.